UAAGGGAAUGGUAUAUACACUCUAAAAAACGCUGGGUUGGUUUUUUAACCCAAAUGCUGGGUUGAGACUGCUGGGUAACAAAAUUGGGUUGAUUCAACCCAAUUUGGGUUGAAAAUCGAUCUUUAUCUAUAACCCAGCAGUGCUGGGUUGGGAACGCGGACGUGAAAGAGAGCACGCACGUCACGUAAACAUGCAGGGACAUCAACGUGAGAAACCGCCAUUUUCUUUGAGCUGUCUUUGAGGGGAAGCGAGUGAAAUUCUGUGUGAGACGUAAGUUAUUUAGUGUGUAUUUAACAAUUUUCAUAAGAAAUAACACACUUAGUUUACUUAGUAUAAUAUACACGCGCUUUUUUUCUGUUUCUCCGCCUGAUGGCCGACUUGUUGCUCCGCCUCACGCUGACCUGUGCUCGCCUUAUGGCUGAACCGUUGCUCCGAGUCCGCCUGACGAGCCACCUGUUUCUCCGGAUCUGUUUCUCCGCCUAACGGCGACCUGUUUCUCCGGACCUGUUUCUCCGGACCUGUUUCUCCGCCUAACGGCGACCUGUUUCUCCGGACCUCCUGUUGAUCGGUGGACGGGUAAGCGCGCAUGGCAUCGGAAGGAGCUCGAAAAGUAUAAGAUGAUGACAGUAAGUAACGUUACUGUGAUUUGUGAUCUUUCUGGGGUGUUAACUGUAAAGCAAUGGAUAAUUGCGUGAAAAUCAAACUUAAAGAAUGCAAUCUUGAGGAGUUAAUCCCCACAUUUGAAGCACAGGAGCGAACCUUUCCUCGUUUUUAGGUCAAUUUGAAUACAAUUCAGAGGGGUGGCAUGGGGGUGCAGUGGGUAGUGCUGUCGCCUCACAGCAAGAUGGUCGCUGGUUUGAGCCUUGGAUGGGUUUCCCCUCCACAGUCCAAUGACAUGCGGUGUAGCUGAAUUGG
Molecule: long non-coding RNA, 915 nt
Filed under: Danio rerio (zebrafish)
Lineage: Eukaryota; Metazoa; Chordata; Actinopteri; Cypriniformes; Danionidae
Description: lncRNA si:ch211-51n3.1 (ENSDARG00000094135.3)
Source: RNAcentral